AGCUGAACUCCAAUUCAGUAUACGUUAUAGAAGAUUCUACCCCCAAGGCUGACGACGUCGUCUACUGAAGCCCCACCAGCGACGCGACGGGAGAGCUCCGGCCUGUACGUGGGUGUGGGAAGACAGAUCCGCAUCGCCAGCCUACACAAGGCCAUGUCAACGCCUCGACGCAGGGUUCAUCAUCCGUCUUCGUCGGCUUUCAGGUUCUAAAUGAGAAGGUAAGGAUGUACUUGAGCUGCAUGAGAAGACCCAGUUCCAUUAUCUCAGAAGCCAGAAGUUUCCCAUUUAAUAUCUUUGGUUCUAAAAUUUGUUUAAGAAAAUGGCCAUUUUGCUAUUAGCACCACGAUUAUGUGUCAAUUGUAGAUUCUUAAUUGUUUAGAAUUAUUUUAUAUGUUUGAUUCCUUCGGUUCAUAUUUAUUCAACAACAAAAUAUUUUCAAGAUUGGUCCGUUUGAGGAUCAAACUUCGAACAUGUGAAUUGAUGUGGCAUCAAGCUAAGUCCGUUGAUACAUUGCUAUCCUUUUUUGCUUUGCACAAUUAAUCUUGUCACUAGAGAUGUAUGUAAAUCCUCUAGCUUUGCUUAUUUUAUCUUUUUAUUUCA
Molecule: long non-coding RNA, 600 nt
Organism: Triticum dicoccoides
Lineage: Eukaryota; Viridiplantae; Streptophyta; Magnoliopsida; Poales; Poaceae
Exons: 3
Source: RefSeq, a predicted model, not a curated record